This 4614-nucleotide long non-coding RNA is filed under the name Sus scrofa (pig). RNAcentral's name for it is "lncRNA (ENSSSCG00050074994.1)". The record is from RNAcentral. Lineage: Eukaryota; Metazoa; Chordata; Mammalia; Artiodactyla; Suidae.
UUCUAUUUUCUCUGAGAAGGUGGAGACUGCCAACCCAUUUUUCUCUUGAAGCCCUCAUCGGCAUCACUUUAACAUCCUGAUUUCUACCAAAAAGCCCUUUCGUGGAAGUGCAGACUUUUGCUCAUGUGCACCUGAGACCCCCCUCCAGCCUCUAUCCACCUCCCAGUUCCAAAGCCUCUUCCUCAUGUCUAGUACCUGUUACAGCAAAAACUAACAUCCCCCCUCGGCAUCCAAAUCAAGUAUGCUUGGGCUGUUGAGAAGAAGCAUCAGGAGGGCAGAGACCUUCCUGUGGGUGCUUCACUGAUGGGUCCUUGGCAUUUAGAGUCUGUGAGGCACAUGGCAGGUGCCACGUAGGUAUUUGUCAAGGUGAAGGAAUGAGUUGCUGCCCAUUGUGUGUGUGUUUGUGUAAUAAAAUAAAGAAUAUGGAGUUCCCGUUGUGGCGCAGUGGUUAACGAAUCUGACUAGGUUCCAUGAGGUUGCGGGUUCGGUCCCUGCCCUUGCUCAGUGGGUUAAGGAUCCGGUGUUGCCGUGAGCUGUGGUGUAGGCCGGUGGCUACAGCUCCGAUUAGACCCCUAGCCUGGGAACCUCCAUAUGCCGCAGGAGCGGCCCAAGAAAUGGCAAAAAAGACAAAAAAAAAAAAAAAAAAAAAAAAAAAAAAGAAAAAGAAAAGAAUAUUAUUUAAUACGUUUUUUCUGAUAGGAAAACCUUGUCACAGCUGCUUUAAAUCUAAUGCUUUUCUUCUUCUCUUCCGCUCCCCCUGCUCCUCCUCCUUUUUCAUGAUAUUAAAUAUUCCUCUUUCCCCAUGUUUUAAAGUUUUAUUGCAGUAUAUUGAUUUACAAUGUUGUGAUAUUUUCUGCUGUACAACAGUGAUUCAGGUACACAUACACACACAUCCAUUCUUUUUCAGAUUCUUUUCCCAUAUAGAUUAUCUCAGCAUAUUGGGUAGAGUUUUCUGUGCUGUACAGCAGGGUCUCAUUGGCCAUUUGUUUCAGAGACCACAGUGUGCAUAUGCCAGACCCAGACCCCCCGUCCAUCCCUCCCCCUCAUCCCCUUUGGUAGUCGUAAGUUUGUUUUCAAAGUCCUAACAGACAUUUCUUCUGAGUAUGUGUUUGGUUUUAUGUUCCUGAAAUGCUCCCCUUGAUAAAACAGAUAUUCCUGUUUCUCUCAUUUCUUAUGUCCCCAAACGGUAAUGAGUCAGAGGUGUGACCCAGCCCAGAUAACACUCAAAUCCUAGAAAAGCUUCCCCCUGCAGGUGGCAGAUAGCGUUCCCCAGGUGGGAAUCCUUAUGGCUAUGGACCUUUAGUUGAAGCAUAAUAAUAAAUGGGUAGGAAGAUCCCGUGUCAUGAAGCAGCUUCUGUAGUCAGCACGGUGUGCUUAGGGCUCACUUCCAAGUGCUAGUGAAGCCACCCUCAGCCCCAGCUUUCGGGCAGAGUCUUCCCCCACCCCUCAGGCCUGCCUGCACCCCCUCCCUCCCACACUCCAUGGGUGGAUGGUGACAGCCACACACGCUCCAGGCUUUGGCAGGUCCAGGUGGGAGAGUCUGUUUUUACAGGUGCACCCCGCAGCCCAGAGUUGAAAUCUGGCUCAGAGUGUGUCGCUGAAGAGAAAAGCUAACAUUUCUUUUGGAAUGAAUAAAAAUAUGCCCCCCAAAUAUUGAAACAGAUCAUAGGGCAUUUGACAAUUGUGGAACCAAGGAUGUUCCUGCCUUCUGUUGUCACAUGGAAAGUUUCUUCCUGCUCAGCGGCAUAAGGGCUUGGCCUCUCCUGACAUCACCUGCCACAUGCUUGAGGGAAAGGGAGCUGGUCUCCUUGGCUGGGAGGGAGCCCACUCUCAGCUGCUGCAGGUCACCUGGGAGUCCUGCGAGUUCCAGGGUUUCGGUGCCUUCUCCCACACAGCGAACACGUCAACCUGAAUGCCUGUUCUCUUGAUGGAAUGUUUUUGAAUAUUCCUCCCUUGGGAUUGAAGGCAAAACUCCUAUACCUUUCACCUGGGUGGUAUUCCUGGCCCCAGCGUGUGCGGGAGCCACUUGGUGAAGUAGGCUUUGGGAGUUGGGACUCUGAAGGCCAGAAAAGCCUCUCUUUCUGAUGGGAACAGAUAACAUGAUGUAAUUCCCUGGCAUCCCAAACAGAACAGGCUGUACUGCUUUAGAAAUAGCACCCACCUCUUAAUCAGUUAUUUUGGGGUCUGUGCAUCCUGAGCUGUCACCAGGAAAACUCCCGAACUUCAGGGGUGACUGAAGGUGUCCGGAGAGAGAGCGUCAGCCUGCAUUCUCAGUGCACAGGGUCAGGGGGCAGGGAUGUACCCGGAGGUCUGGGUGGCCCGGCAGGGGCUCUAAAUAGCAACCGGCCAAGCUCGUGCUCUGUUCCGUGAAUGUGCUUUGUCCUUUCUAAUCAGCUCCAAAGAGGAUGAGGCAUGUUCUUCAUGGAGGUGAAUUCCAGGCCAUUCUGGAGACAAGCCCAUGGGAAUUUUUAUGGUAACAUCCAAGUUGUCCAACAGGGAAUGCAAAGAGAGAUGACUCUUUCUGCAGACGCCCUGCUGGCCACUGGUCUUGCCCCAAAUAUCUAAUUCUUUUCUUUACUCUUAUUCUUUUUUCUCUUCUCUUCUUUUUUGUCUUUUGUCUUUUUAGGGCCGCAAUCUGUGGCAUAUGGAGGUUCCCAGGCUACGGGUCCAAUCAGAGCUGUUGCUGCCCGGCCUACGCCACAGCCACAGCAACGCCAGAUCUGAGCCAUGUCUGCAACCUACACCACAGCUCAUGGCAACGCUGGAUCCUUAACCCACUGAGCGAGACCAGGGAUCGAACCUGCAACCUCAUGGUUCCUAGUCGGAUUCGUUUCCACUACACCACGAUGGGAACUCCCUUUUCUUUUCUUUUCUUCUUAGGGCCACACCCACAGCAUAUGGAAGUUCUCAGGCUAGGGGUCAAAUUGGAGCUACAGGUGCCAGCCUACACUACAGCCACAGCAAUGCCAGAUCUGAACCAUGUCUGUGACCUACACCACAGCUCGUGGCAACUCCGGAUUCUUAACCUACUAAGUGGGGCCAGGGAUCGAACCCGCAUCCUCGUGAACAUUAGUCAGAUUCUUAACCCUCUGAGCCACAACAGGAGCUCCAAAGGACAGCCCUUCUGCCUUGACCUCUGGACGAGCCAUCCUGCUGGCUUUCCACAUGGGGUUCAGGAGGUGUGGUUUGCAGUUGCUUCUUGGAGGUAUUAUGUCCCAGCCUUCAGGGACUAAAACUAUAGGAUUAGAAUAAUGUGGGUCUUGAAACUGAGCUGGGAGCCAGCAGGCUUGAAGGAGAGUGGUAGGCGCCGGGAGAGAAGACUGGGACUCUGCUGGGUGGCUUUGCGACAUGCUCGGCAUUGUCUACUAUAGGUGGGAAACGCCUCUCUUUCCCAAAGGUCAGCUGGGGAGCAGGUGCUGACCCAGGCACUUCGCUCAGUUUCACAGCAGCCCUUCCUGCCAACCUCACACUAUCAAAGGAGAUGAUAUGAAAGGACAAGGGAAGCCUAAUAAGGCAGUAGCCACAUGUGCAUGGAUGUGCUGUUGUCACUUAUUUCAUUAGUUGAGUUUAGGAUUAUUCUCUCCCUACUUUGCCACUGCCUUCCUGGCUUAUUGGCAAAACUCUUCUUUUCCUUAUUUGAAAGUACGUAUAACCAUGCAUGCUCCAUCUUACUCAAAAGAGUAGCCACUGUGAACCUCAAACUGCUCUUAAAAAAAUGUCUACUAAAAAGGAAUAUCCACUUAAUAUUAGCUCUAUUCAUUCAUUUCUUUCUUAAUUCACUCAUUCAUCAAAUUUGCUUGUGGUAUGGCAGUUCCUGAAGAUGACAGGACCCUAGGAAAUGUUAUUAUUCAAUGGAGAGGAAUAGAAAAAUAAUUGUAGUUGUGAGCAGCAUUUUAGUGGAAUUGUGAGCAAAAUCCUAUGGGACACACAAGACUUAUACACAAAUGUUCACAGCAACAUUAGUCGUAAUAGUCAAUUAGCUAUUUGCAAGAAAUUUAUGUUGGGAGAGGGCCAGGGCCAUAAUUAAGUUAGGAAGAAAUCUCCUCUGAAAGGUUUUAUGGAUGAGAGACAAUUUUUAGCUGUCAAAUUUUAGUUUCUCCACCUAUAGAGAUUGGCAGCUGCAGGGCUGCACACAAGGAAAUUUCUCUCCUUCCACUGACUCACCAACACACUAAAUGAUGACUUUUUCAUUAUUACUGAGUACCUGAAUCAUCCAAUUGCUCAGUUUUCUGGAACUCUGAUUACAUGACACUUCCAUUUAGAAUAGUGACGCUCCACAAUAAAGGGCUACAGUUGCUCACAGGGGCCACCUUCAUAACCACUGUUAUGGAAUUCCGUAACCUCAACUUCCUUCUUCAAUCCAGUUUAAAGAUGAGGACCUGGAGGGAGUUCCCAUUGUGGCUCAGCAUUAAUGAACCCUACUGGUAUCCAUGAGGUUGCAGGUUUAAUCUCUGGCCCCACUCAGUGGGUUAAGGAUCUGGCAUUGCCAUCACCUGUGGUGUAGAUUGAAGAUGAGGCUCAGAUCUGGUGUUGCUAUGGCUGUGGUGUAGGCCUGUGGCUGUAGCUCCGAUUUGGCCCCUAGCCUGGGAACCUCCAUAUGCCACAGGUGUGGCC